AGUCCGUCUCUGGGCUGCAAGGC
Molecule: microRNA, 23 nt
Filed under: Tetranychus urticae (two-spotted spider mite)
Lineage: Eukaryota; Metazoa; Arthropoda; Arachnida; Trombidiformes; Tetranychidae
Description: tur-miR-745-5p
Gene: tur-miR-745-5p
Source: miRBase by way of RNAcentral